This 563-nucleotide ribosomal RNA is filed under the name uncultured archaeon. Its description in RNAcentral is "bacterial SSU rRNA". It matches the Rfam family "Archaeal small subunit ribosomal RNA", at positions 326 to 897 of the family's 1478-position model. The record is from RNAcentral.
CGGGGUGCACCAGGCGCGAAAACUUUGCAAUGCGGGAAACCGUGACAAGGGAACUCUGAGUGCCCGUUAAAUCGGGCUGUCCAUCGGUUUAAAUAACCGGUGAAGAAAGGGCCGGGCAAGACCGGUGCCAGCCGCCGCGGUAAUACCGGCGGCUCGAGUGGUGGCCACUAUUACUGGGCUUAAAGCGUUCGUAGCUGGUUUGUUAAGUCUCUGGGGAAAUCUUCCGGCUUAACCGGAAGGCGUCUCAGGGAUACUGGCAGACUAGGGACCGGGAGAGGUGAGAGGUACUCCAGGGGUAGGAGUGAAAUCCUGUAAUCCUUGGGGGACCACCUGUGGCGAAGGCGUCUCACCAGAACGGCUCCGACAGUGAGGGACGAAAGCUGGGGGAGCAAACCGGAUUAGAUACCCGGGUAGUCCCAGCUGUAAACGAUGCGCGUUAGGUGUAUCGGUGACCACGAGUCACCGAGGUGCCGAAGAGAAAUCGUGAAACGUGCCGCCUGGGAAGUACGGUCGCAAGGCUGAAACUUAAAGGAAUUGGCGGGGGAGCACAAGGGCGAUUCGCG